RNAcentral lists this ribosomal RNA (412 nucleotides) under Plesionika sindoi. Its description in RNAcentral is "partial 12S ribosomal RNA". The stretch from base 52 to 412 matches the Rfam family "Microsporidia small subunit ribosomal RNA", at positions 752 to 1213 of the family's 1311-position model. Lineage: Eukaryota; Metazoa; Arthropoda; Malacostraca; Decapoda; Pandalidae. The record is from RNAcentral.
UUGAAACCAGGGUUAGAUACCCUGUUAUACUUGGUUGAAAGUUAAUUUCUUGAGUAGUAAUCAGUUAUAUUCUUGAAACUUAAAGGAUUUGGCGGUAUUUUAGUCUUGUUAGAGGAACCUGUUUUGUAAACGAUACACCACGAAAUAUCUUACUUUUUCUUGUAGUUCAGUUUGUAUACCGCCAUUGAUUCAAGUAGUUUUUAUAAGAGUCUAUUAUAAUAGUUGUUAACUAAUACAUUAGGUCAAGGUGCAGCUAAUGAAAAAGUAUUAAUGGGUUACAAUGAUAUAUGUGUAUUACGGAUUAAGAGUGUAAUACUCUUUUGAAGGUGGAUUUAAUAGUAAAGUUCUUUUAAUAAGUGAUUUUGAUAGAAGCUCUAAGAUAUGUACACAUCGCCCGUCGUCCGCGGGAAAA